Molecule: long non-coding RNA, 295 nt
Organism: Xenia sp. Carnegie-2017
Lineage: Eukaryota; Metazoa; Cnidaria; Anthozoa; Malacalcyonacea; Xeniidae
Exons: 4
Source: RefSeq, a predicted model, not a curated record
ACCAGUCUCGUGUGAUACUCUCCGGAGAUGAAAAAACUGACUAUAUUAAUGCCUCAUUUGUCGACGGCAAAACUGACAAUUAUUACAUCGCGACCCAAGGACCCAAACCCAAAACAGUCAACGACUUUUGGAGGAUGAUAUUCGAACACAAGUGUCCAACUAUUGUGAUGUUGACGACAUUAAAAGAAAUGGGAAAGGUGAAAUGUGAAAAGUAUUGGCCAGAUGAAUCCAAGAUAUACGGUACGAUCCAGGUGACCAUCACCAAGACAAAAGCUUUUGCUGAUUACGUCAUGAG